UGGGCACGUAGCUCAAUUGGAUAGAGCCCCGGUCUCCAAAGCCGGUGGUUGGGGGUUCGAGUCCCUCCGGGCCUGCAAC
This 79-nucleotide transfer RNA is filed under the name Rhodococcus phage AngryOrchard. Its description in RNAcentral is "tRNA-Trp". It matches the Rfam family "tRNA". Rfam says of the family: Transfer RNA (tRNA) molecules are approximately 80 nucleotides in length. Their secondary structure includes four short double-helical elements and three loops (D, anti-codon, and T loops). Lineage: Duplodnaviria; Heunggongvirae; Uroviricota; Caudoviricetes. The record is from RNAcentral.